This 242-nucleotide long non-coding RNA is filed under the name Lathyrus oleraceus (garden pea). RNAcentral describes it as "Pisum sativum (pea) long non-coding RNA (PSAT_LNC041154)". The record is from RNAcentral. Lineage: Eukaryota; Viridiplantae; Streptophyta; Magnoliopsida; Fabales; Fabaceae.
AAACUGGUUAUCCAUAAUUAAAUUGGUAUCCAAAUUGAUCUACUUAAAAAAAUCAAACCAAAUGCUAAAAUUUAAUUUAAUUUUGUUAUUGGUUAUUCAAAUAUAAACCGUUACUCAUUAUAAAAAUUUGGUUUUGUUAUUAGUUAUCCAAAUUUUACUAUCUCUUAAAUUUUAAUUUUUGUAUGUUUUCAUAUUUUAUCAUAUUAUAAAUCAAUUUUAUAUUUUAAAUUUUUUUAAAUUUU